Molecule: ribosomal RNA, 301 nt
Filed under: uncultured bacterium
Lineage: Bacteria
Description: bacterial SSU rRNA
Rfam family: Bacterial small subunit ribosomal RNA
Source: RNAcentral
GACUGCCUACGGGAGGCAGCAGUGGGGAAUAUUGCACAAUGGGGGAAACCCUGAAGCAGCGACGCCGCGUGAGCGAUGAAGUAUUUCGGUAUGUAAAGCUCUAUCAGCAGGGAAGAAAAUGACGGUACCUGACUAAGAAGCCCCGGCUAACUACGUGCCAGCAGCCGCGGUAAUACGUAGGGGGCAAGCGUUAUCCGGAUUUACUGGGUGUAAAGGGAGCGUAGACGGCUUUGCAAGCCAGAUGUGAAAGCCCGGGGCUCAACCCCGGGACUGCAUUUGUAACUGUGUGGCUAGAGUGACG